Molecule: ribosomal RNA, 524 nt
Filed under: uncultured bacterium
Lineage: Bacteria
Description: partial 16S ribosomal RNA
Rfam family: Bacterial small subunit ribosomal RNA
Source: RNAcentral
GACGAACGCUGGCGGCGUGCCUAAUACAUGCAAGUCGAACGAAGCUUUUUUAACUGGUGCUUGCACCGACUUAAACAACUGAGUGGCGAACGGGUGAGUAACACGUGGGUAACCUGCCCCAAAGCGGGGGAUAACAUUUGGAAACAGAUGCUAAUACCGCAUAACCACAGAAACCACAUGGUUUCUGUAUCAAAGAUGGUUUCGGCUAUCACUUUGGGAUGGACCCGCGGCGUAUUAGCUAGUUGGUAAGGUAAUGGCUUACCAAGGCAAUGAUACGUAGCCGAACUGAGAGGUUGAUCGGCCACAUUGAGACUGAGACACGGCCAAAACUCCUACGGGAGGCAGCAGUAGGGAAUCUUCCACAAUGGACGAAAGUCUGAUGAAGCAACGCCGCGUGAGUGAAGAAGGUUUUCGGAUCGUAAAACUCUGUUGUCAGAGAAGAACGUGUGCGAGAGUAACUGUUCGUGCAGUGACGGUAUCUGGCCAGAAAGCCACGGCUAACUACGUGCCAGCCGCCGCGGUAA